Molecule: ribosomal RNA, 251 nt
Filed under: Glaesserella parasuis
Lineage: Bacteria; Pseudomonadati; Pseudomonadota; Gammaproteobacteria; Pasteurellales; Pasteurellaceae
Description: partial 16S ribosomal RNA
Rfam family: Bacterial small subunit ribosomal RNA
Source: RNAcentral
AAAUUGAAGAGUUUGAUCAUGGCUCAGAUUGAACGCUGGCGGCAGGCUUAACACAUGCAAGUCGAACGGUAGCAGGAAGGAAGCUUGCUUUCUUUGCUGACGAGUGGCGGACGGGUGAGUAAUACUUGGGGAUCUGGCUUAUGGAGGGGGAUAACGACGGGAAACUGUCGCUAAUACCGCGUAAUGUCUAAGGACUAGAGGGUGGGACUUUCGGGCCACCUGCCAUAAGAUGAGCCCAAGUGGGAUUAGGU